CGUCCUAUUAGCUAGUUGGUGAGGUAAUGGCUCACCAAGGCUACGAUGGGUAGGGGUUCUUAGUGGAAGGUCCCCCACACUGGCACUGAGAUACGGGCCAGACUCCUACGGGAGGCAGCAGUAGGGAAUAUUGGUCAAUGGGCGCAAGCCUGAACCAGCCAUGCCGCGUGCAGGAUGGAGGCUCUCUGAGUUGUAAACUGCUUUUGUACAGGAGCAAAAAAAUCCCUGCGGGGGUUCUUGAGAGUACUGUAAGAAUAAGCACCGGCUAAUUCCGUGCCAGCAGCCGCGGUAAUACGGGAGGUGCAAGCGUUAUCCGGUUUUAUUGGGUUUAAAGGGUGCGUAGGCGGCUUAUUAAGUCAGUUGUGAAAUCCUAGUGCUUAACGCUAGAACUGCGAUUGAUACUAUU
Molecule: ribosomal RNA, 406 nt
Filed under: Candidatus Cardinium sp.
Lineage: Bacteria; Pseudomonadati; Bacteroidota; Cytophagia; Cytophagales; Amoebophilaceae
Description: bacterial SSU rRNA
Rfam family: Bacterial small subunit ribosomal RNA
Source: RNAcentral